Long non-coding RNA from Lacerta agilis (Sand lizard), 845 nucleotides. RefSeq lists it as uncharacterized. NCBI's taxonomy places the organism in Eukaryota, Metazoa, Chordata, Lepidosauria, Squamata, Lacertidae. The record is from RefSeq and is a predicted model, not a curated record. The transcript has 2 exons.
UAUACAGUCCUGUGCAUGUGGCAGCGACUCACAUACACUGGAGAAAAUAGACGGCUGCACUCCACUGGUGGCAGAUCCCUGUGUCUUCAGAAAAGGCAGACAACGGGCUUCCUGCUUGGGCCGACCUCUCUCCAACCUCACCAAAUACCUCAGAACCGUUUAUGGCAAAACACCUUUCUUACAUUAGCCAGGGAGGCACCAGUGGAAGCCACGGCACCUUUGAAAUCAAGAUGUUAGAGUCUCCUCUCAGCAGUCGUCCACUCCAAAACGAUGAAGUUCUGGUUUGUGAAAACAAACAGCAUUGCAACUACUGGGGUGAUAACACUGGGCAAUACCUAUAAGGCUGGCCUAAAUUGUACUUAACAGACUGGUUAACAACCCCUACCCCUGCAACUGUCCAACAUUAGAUGGCUUAUUUGAUGCACUGAAUCUGAAACAGGAUCAUUAUUUACUUCAUUUCUAGCUUGCCUUAUGGGUCAAGGAAACCACAAGGAGCUAACAAUAUCAAAUCAUUUCUGAAGACAUGCAUAUCAAUAACAGUAAGGUACAUUUAAAAUGUGUACAAAAUCCUAAAGGCAACUUCAUUACAUCUUCAUUAUCCCUGAGACCCCAUAUUUGCACAAAAAAAUCCCAUGCUAUGUCCAGUCUUCCAAGAACCAGAAUUGAAAUCUAUUAGAACAGAUACAUGUUCCUCCGUAGUAUGCAACUCGAAUAUAGGGAUUCUGUUGUAAAGAGGAUGGUCUUUCUGAAGUUCAAUUCACCAUAAGAUUUCUGUUGGUUUUAUAUCCACUAGUAAGGUCUUUAAAUAAUGUAAUCUGGGUUAAAUAAAAUAAUUUGGAUUAGAG